This 182-nucleotide ribosomal RNA is filed under the name uncultured bacterium. RNAcentral describes it as "partial 16S ribosomal RNA". It matches the Rfam family "Bacterial small subunit ribosomal RNA", at positions 1319 to 1500 of the family's 1533-position model. The record is from RNAcentral.
CACGAAGCCGGAAUCGCUAGUAAUCGCAGAUCAGAAUGCUGCGGUGAAUACGUUCCCGGGUCUUGUACACACCGCCCGUCACACCAUGGGAGUCGGAAAUGCCCGAAGUCAGUGGCCCAACCGGAAGGAGGGAGCUGCCGAAGGCAGGUCCGGUGACUGGGGUGAAGUCGUAACAAGGUACC